RNAcentral lists this ribosomal RNA (448 nucleotides) under uncultured bacterium. RNAcentral describes it as "partial 16S ribosomal RNA". It matches the Rfam family "Bacterial small subunit ribosomal RNA", at positions 29 to 523 of the family's 1533-position model. The record is from RNAcentral.
AACGAACGCUGGCGGCAUGCCUAAUACAUGCAAGUCGAACGAUCACUUCGGUGGUAGUGGCGCACGGGUGCGUAACGCGUGGGAAUCUGCCCUUGGGUUCGGAAUAACGUCGGGAAACUGACGCUAAUACUGGAUGAUGACGUAAGUCCAAAGAUUUAUCGCCCAGGGAUGAGCCCGCGUAGGAUUAGCUAGUUGGUGGGGUAAAGGCCUACCAAGGCGACGAUCCUUAGCUGGUCUGAGAGGAUGAUCAGCCACACUGGGACUGAGACACGGCCCAGACUCCUACGGGAGGCAGCAGUAGGGAAUAUUGGACAAUGGGGGCAACCCUGAUCAGCAAUGCCGCGUGAGUGAUGAAGGCCUUAGGGUUGAGAAGCUCUUUUACCCGGGAUGAUAAUGACAGUACCGGAGGAAUAAGCCCCGGCUAACUCCGUGCCAGCCGCCGCAGUAA